ACACUUGGCAUGGUAAGCGUAGGUGCAAGUUUCACAGCUCAGAAGAUCCCCGUUUUCUCCACAAGACUGACAGCAGUCAUCUUUCGCAUCAGGCCUGACUAUCCUUUCAAUUUUUUCCUGAGAUUUCCCAGGUUUUCCUGACAAAAAAUCAGCAUCAUCAUCUGACUCAUCUAAGAUAUAAAUUGGCCUUCGCUCUGAUCUUACACGAAGCCUUUCAACCAAGCUACUCAUAUCCGGAGAUAGCCGGAUCUGGG
Molecule: unclassified non-coding RNA, 254 nt
Filed under: Hevea brasiliensis (rubber tree)
Lineage: Eukaryota; Viridiplantae; Streptophyta; Magnoliopsida; Malpighiales; Euphorbiaceae
Source: RNAcentral